Long non-coding RNA from Manis pentadactyla (Chinese pangolin), 549 nucleotides. RefSeq lists it as uncharacterized. Lineage: Eukaryota; Metazoa; Chordata; Mammalia; Pholidota; Manidae. The transcript has 3 exons. The record is from RefSeq and is a predicted model, not a curated record.
CAGAGAUUUCAGGAUUUCAUGAAGUUGAAGAAAAUGAUGUUGGAAUACUGCUCAAAUCACACACAAAUGAGGCUUGGGAAAUUCAGGAUUGAUUUUAUAUGAAUGUCAGAGGGGGAGGAUUCAUUUUAAAAGUGAACCACCUGGGAUGCAUUUAUUCCACAAAGUGAGGUGGUGUUUGUCCAUGAGGGUGUAACCUCCCUUAUUGUCCAUAUCAGAUUUGGAAAGAUGCAAGCUGCUUUGGAAGCCAAAACUACUGUGCCACCAGCAGUGGGGAAGGAAGCAGAAUGUCUUUUCAGCAGGUCAGAAAGUGACUCUAGGCUCUCUGAGGACAGGGCCCAGGUGGGUCUUGUUCCUUGCUAUACCCCAAGUACUUAGCAUAGUUCCUACCUAGUACAGGCACUCAAUUAGUGCUAUCGAUUUACUAAAGGGGGUUGAUUGCUCUAUGGCCAAAUUUGUCCCCUUCCACAAGAGUCCUGGCUGAGACUCUGUGUGGAAGCUCUAGAGAUCUCUGCUUUAGAGCAUCCAGAGUCUUUGCCUGGACAACCAGAG